RNAcentral lists this ribosomal RNA (253 nucleotides) under uncultured bacterium. Its description in RNAcentral is "partial 16S ribosomal RNA". It matches the Rfam family "Bacterial small subunit ribosomal RNA", at positions 524 to 776 of the family's 1533-position model. The record is from RNAcentral.
UACAGAGGGUGCGAGCGUUAAUCGGAAUUACUGGGCGUAAAGCGUGCGUAGACGGCUAUCUAAGUCGGGUGUGAAAGCCCCGGGCUCAACCUGGGAAUUGCAUUCGAGACUGAAUAGCUAGGGUGCGGUAGAGGGAAGCGGAAUUUCCGGUGUAGCGGUGAAAUGCGUAGAUAUCUGGAGGAACACCGGUGGCGAAGGCGGCAUCCUGGACCGACACUGACGCUGAGGCGCGAAAGCUAGGGGAGCAAACGGG